CCUACGGGAGGCAGCAGUGAGGAAUAUUGGUCAAUGGACGAGAGUCUGAACCAGCCAAGUAGCGUGAAGGAUGACUGCCCUAUGGGUUGUAAACUUCUUUUAUAAAGGAAUAAAACGAGGCACGUGUGCCUUUUUGCAUGUACUUUAUGAAUAAGGAUCGGCUAACUCCGUGCCAGCAGCCGCGGUAAUACGGAGGAUCCGAGCGUUAUCCGGAUUUAUUGGGUUUAAAGGGAGCGUAGAUGGGUUGUUAAGUCAGUUGUGAAAGUUUGCGGCUAAACCGUAAAAUUGCAAUUGAUACUGGCAGUCGUGAGUACAGUUGAGGUAGGCGGAAUUCGUGGUGUAGCGGUGAAAUGCUUAGAUAUCACGAAGAACCCCGAUUGCGAAGGCAGCUUACUAAACUGUGACUGACAUUGAUGCUCGAAAGUGUGGGUAUCAAACAGGAUUAGAUACCCUUGUAGUC
RNAcentral lists this ribosomal RNA (460 nucleotides) under uncultured bacterium. Its description in RNAcentral is "partial 16S ribosomal RNA". It matches the Rfam family "Bacterial small subunit ribosomal RNA", at positions 338 to 795 of the family's 1533-position model. The record is from RNAcentral.